AACGGCCGUACCGUGCUGAAUAUACCGGUUCUCGUUAGAUCACUUAAGUCAAGCAUCAUUGGGCGCGGUCAGUACUUGGGUGGGUGACCGCCUGGGAACACCGCGUGCCGUU
RNAcentral lists this ribosomal RNA (112 nucleotides) under Caerostris darwini. The record is from RNAcentral. Lineage: Eukaryota; Metazoa; Arthropoda; Arachnida; Araneae; Araneidae.